ACACAUGCAAGUCGAGCGGGGACACGGGGCUUCGGCCCAGUGUUCUAGCGGCGGACGGGUGAGUAACGCGUGAGCAAUCUGUCCCAGACAGGGGGAUAACAACUGGAAACAGUUGCUAAUACCGCAUAAGACCACGGCCUCGCAUGGGGCUGAGGUAAAAGUGGAAACACAGUUUGGGGUGAGCUCGCGUCCCAUUAGCUAGUUGGUGAGGUAACGGCCCACCAAGGCGACGAUGGGUAGCCGACCUGAGAGGGUGAUCGGCCACACUGGAACUGAGACACGGUCCAGACUCCUACGGGAGGCAGCAGUGGGGAAUAUUGGGCAAUGGGCGAAAGCCUGACCCAGCAACGCCGCGUGAGGGAUGAAUGUUUUCGGAUUGUAAACCUCUGUCCUCAGGGACGAAGGAAGUGACGGUACCUGAGGAGGAAGCCCCGGCUAACUACGUGCCAGCAGCCGCGGUAAUACGUAGGGGGCGAGCGUUGUCCGGAAUGACUGGGCGUAAAGGGCGCGUAGGCGGCUGUGUAAGUCUGGAGUGAAAGUCCUGCUUUUAAGGUGGGAAUUGCUUUGGAGACUGCAUGGCUUGAGUGCGGAAGAGGCAAGUGGAAUUCCCAGUGUAGCGGUGAAAUGCGUAGAGAUUGGGAAGAACACCAGUGGCGAAGGCGACUUGCUGGGCCGUAACUGACGCUGAGGCGCGAAAGCGUGGGGAGCGAACAGGAUUAGAUACCCUGGUAGUCCACGCCGUAAACGAUGAAUGCUAGGUGUAGGGGG
RNAcentral lists this ribosomal RNA (768 nucleotides) under uncultured bacterium. RNAcentral's name for it is "bacterial SSU rRNA". It matches the Rfam family "Bacterial small subunit ribosomal RNA", at positions 51 to 829 of the family's 1533-position model. The record is from RNAcentral.